Molecule: ribosomal RNA, 450 nt
Filed under: uncultured bacterium
Lineage: Bacteria
Description: partial 16S ribosomal RNA
Rfam family: Bacterial small subunit ribosomal RNA
Source: RNAcentral
GUGGGGAAUUUUGGACAAUGGGCGCAAGCCUGAUCCAGCAAUGCCGCGUGCAGGAAGAAGGCCUUCGGGUUGUAAACUGCUUUUGUACGGAACGAAACGGUCUGGGUUAAUACCCUGGGCUAAUGACGGUACCGUAAGAAUAAGCACCGGCUAACUACGUGCCAGCAGCCGCGGUAAUACGUAGGGUGCGAGCGUUAAUCGGAAUUACUGGGCGUAAAGCGUGCGCAGGCGGUUUUGUAAGACAGGCGUGAAAUCCCCGGGCUCAACCUGGGAAUGGCGCUUGUGACUGCAAAGCUGGAGUGCGGCAGAGGGGGAUGGAAUUCCGCGUGUAGCAGUGAAAUGCGUAGAUAUGCGGAGGAACACCGAUGGCGAAGGCAAUCCCCUGGGCCUGCACUGACGCUCAUGCACGAAAGCGUGGGGAGCAAACAGGAUUAGAAACCCCGGUAGUCC